GCUGGGCGUGGUGGUGCACGCCUGUAGUCCCAGCUACUCAGGAGGCUGAGGCAGGUGAAUUGCUUGAACCCGGGAGGUGGAGGUUGCAGUGAGCCAAGAUCGCACCACUGCACUCCAGCCUGGGUGACAGAGCAGGACUCUGUCUGUA
RNAcentral lists this non-coding RNA (148 nucleotides) under Gorilla gorilla gorilla (western lowland gorilla). Lineage: Eukaryota; Metazoa; Chordata; Mammalia; Primates; Hominidae. The record is from Rfam by way of RNAcentral.